This is a transfer RNA of Spizellomyces punctatus DAOM BR117, 73 nucleotides long. It matches the Rfam family "tRNA". Rfam says of the family: Transfer RNA (tRNA) molecules are approximately 80 nucleotides in length. Their secondary structure includes four short double-helical elements and three loops (D, anti-codon, and T loops). Lineage: Eukaryota; Fungi; Chytridiomycota; Chytridiomycetes; Spizellomycetales; Spizellomycetaceae. The record is from Rfam.
GGGCCUAUGGCCCAAUGGAUAAGGCGCCUGACUACGGAUCAGGAGAUUCGAGGUUCGAAUCCUCGUAGGCUCG